CUUUGCGAAAACGGAUAAGUUUGUCCGGUUUCUCCCUCUCUCAAACAAACCCACAGCCGGAGAUAGCCGUCCGGCCGGAGGCGUCGGCGGCAGCAGACUUCUUCAGAAAUGUUAGCUUCUUGUCCUCUUUACCAUGGCUUAUCUUCGCCACAAUUCGCAGCCUCGACUAAAUACAAGCUUCUUCUCUCCUCAUGUGCUUCUUCUUCUGCUCGUUCUCUUCAAACUCACUCUAAAAAUCCUCAUUUUUUCCCGCUUCACUUACUAAGUUCAAGAAAAAGAAGAAAGGGAGGAAAUUCUAGUGGUAGGUUAUGGAUUGCAGCUUGUUUGGACUCCAGAGGUGGCGGCGCGGCGCCUUACUCCGUGAAAAUCCCCGUGGGCAACCGACAUAUAUUGAUUGAAACAGGUCACAUAGGAAGGCAAGCAAGUGGUGCUGUCACGCUGACAGAUGGAGAAACUAUUCUAUACACAACUGUUUCUCUGGAUGAUAUUCCAAGUGAGCCUUCAGAUUUUUUCCCCCUAUCUGUAAAUUAUCAAGAACGCUUUUCAGCUGCUGGUCGAACAAGUGGAGGGUUUUUUAAGCGAGAAGGAAGGACAAAAGAUCAUGAGGUACUUAUUUGUAGAUUGAUAGAUAGGCCUUUACGUCCGACAAUGGUUAAAGGCUUCUAUCAUGAAACUCAAAUAUUGUCCUGGGUACUAAGCUAUGAUGGUUUGCAUCCUCCAGAUUCUUUGGCUGUUACAGCUGCUGGAAUUGCUGUAGCACUAUCAGAAGUGCCAAAUUCCGAACCUAUUGCUGGCGUUCGAGUUGGUCUGAUUGGUGACCGGUUCAUUGUGAACCCUACAACGAAGGAGAUGGAAAAGUCUAAGUUGGAUCUGUUGCUGGCAGGCACGGAGACUGCAAUAUUAAUGAUUGAGGGUUAUUGUGAUUUUCUUACUGAAGAGAGGUUGCUUAAUGCAGUACAAAUUGGGCAGGAUGCUGUGCGUGCAAUUUGCAGGGAAGUGGCUGCUUUAGUGAAGCUAUGUGGAAAGCCUAAAAUGCUUGAUGCAAUUAAAUUACCUCCUCCAGAGCUAUAUAAGCAUGUUGAAGAUAUUGCAGGUCAAGAAUUGGUGGAAGUGUUACAAAUUAAAAAUAAGAUCCCAAGAAGAAAGGCUUUAUCAUAUUUAGAAAACAAGGUUCUGAGUAUACUAACAGAGAGAGGUUACAUUAGCAAGAUUGAUGCCAUUGUUUCUACCGAGUUGACACCAGAUUUAAUUGAGGAUGAGGAGGAAGAUGAGGAAGUGGUUGUGGAAGGUGAAGUUGAUGAAGGUGAUGUUCACAUCAAGCUAGUGUCUCGUAAAUCCAUUCCCUUGCUCUUUACAGAGGUAGAUGUGAAGCUUGUUUUCAAAGAAGUUACAUCAAAGUUUCUCCGCAGGCGAAUUGUGGAGGGAGGAAAACGAAGUGAUGGCAGAGCACCUUGUGAGGUACGGCCAAUAAACUCAUCUUGCGGACUACUUCCCAGAGUACAUGGGAGUGCACUGUUUACACGUGGAGAAACACAGUCACUAGCUGUUGCUACACUUGGUGAUAAACAAAUGGCACAAAAGAUUGAUAAUCUUGUGGAUGUGGAAGAAUUCAAGAGAUUCUAUCUUCAGUACUCAUUUCCACCCUCAUGUGUUGGUGAAGUUGGGAGGGUGGGGGCACCAUCUAGAAGAGAAAUUGGUCAUGGAGUGCUGGCAGAGAGAGCUCUAGAGCCUAUAUUGCCUUCUGAGGAUGAUUUUCCUUAUACCAUACGUGUUGAGAGUACCAUCACUGAGAGCAAUGGCUCGUCAAGUAUGGCAUCAGUGUGUGGUGGUUGCUUAGCUUUGCAAGAUGCUGGUGUUCCACUAAAGUCCUCUAUUGCUGGUAUAGCAAUGGGUAUGGUAUUGGACACAAAAGAAUUUGGCGGAGAUGGAACUCCACUUAUCCUUUCUGACAUAACUGGAUCAGAAGAUGCAUCUGGAGAUAUGGAUUUCAAGGUAGCUGGAAAUAAUGAUGGUAUAACUGCAUUCCAGUUGGACAUCAAGGUAGGAGGGAUUACUUUACCAAUCAUGGAGCGGGCUCUCCUGCAAGCAAGAGAUGGUCGAAAACAUAUCCUUGCUGAAAUGUCAAAGUGCUGCCCUCCUCCUUCAAAAAGUCUCUCCAAGUAUGCUCCAAUAAUUCAUGUUAUGAAGGUCAAACCAGAAAAGAUUAACCUCAUCAUUGGUUCUGGUGGUAAGAAGGUGAAGAGCAUUAUUGAGGAAACUGGGGUUGAAGCUAUUGACGCACAGGAUGAUGGAACUGUGAAAAUAACUGCCAAAGAUUUAUCCAGCUUGGAAAAGUCCAAAGCCAUAAUUAGCAAUCUUACAAUGGUUCCAACUGUUGGGGAUAUUUAUAGGAACCGUGAAAUCAAAUCCAUUGCUCCUUAUGGAGCUUUUGUUGAAGUUGCACCUGGACGGGAGGGGCUCUGCCACAUUAGUGAACUGAGUGCCAGUUGGCUGGGUAAAGCAGAAGAUGCUGUCAAAGUUGGAGACCGAGUUGAUGUGAAGCUGAUUGAGGUCAAUGAGAAAGGACAGCUUCGUUUAAGUCGCCGUGCUUUACUUCCAGAUCCUGAUAAGGGAAACCCCUUAAAAGAGACUACAAGUUCUCAAAAGUCUGUUGAUAAGGGUAAACCUAAGAAAGCAGCAACAGUUGUAAAGGAUACUUUACCAGUGGAGAAUGCUGAAUUGGCCAAGGGUAUUAAACUUCCAAACCCAGGAAAAAGUAAGCCAGUAGAGAAUAAAUUGGUUUCAGAAGAUAAGUUUGUGAAGAAAAUUGUCGUCUCAGACAAGGAUGGAGCUCAUAUUGACAAAGGAAGGCCCAAGAAGAGCAGCAGUAAACAAGUUGUUAAUCUUGCCAGCAAAACAGAUGGAGCUGUGAUAAAUGGAGAGGCCAAUGGUGGAUAGUAAAUUAGCAUAACCUUCAAAUUCAUAUUGGCUUUACUGUGACUGGGGUGUGAUUUUCUCUCACCUUGAGAACUGAGGAAAUAAAUUGUGCACAUCCUUCUGUCAGCAUGCAAGAGCAGUACAAAUAUCAUGUCUUCAUACGCGCGCAUCCAUGGAGUACACUCAUGAUAAAUUCAUUAACUGGAAGCAGAGGAUGGAUCUAAGGCAACUGCUGCUUAUUUUAUUGGUAAUCUCGAGUUUUGCCCAAAGUGAUGUUGCUCCUGAUUUCUGAGUUGACACUGACAAGUUUUUGCUGGAACCUAUUGAGCAAAAGUUAUUCUUAAGAUGAGAUCAGGGUUGGCCUGUAUUCCUUUCUCAGUUGCAAGUUUCAAUUUAGAUUCGAUGAGUUUCAACUCCUUUUAAACUCCACCUGAGAGAUUGCAUCCCCUCCAUCUCAUUGAAAUCGGGUAAAGGAUCCAUGUAGAACAAUAGUUUACAGAUUGAAAAUGCGUUGCAAGUAUUUAUGGAUAAGAGGCGUUUUUCUAUAUGAAAACCUUUGUACUCGAACUUGCUUGCAUCAGUUUUCCUUUAAAAAAAUUGUAAUUUUCUUCUCAGAUGAUUAUUUAUAGUCUUCGCUGGUCUGUUGUACAUUUAAAAUAAGAAAUAUUCAGUUGUUUAAAGCAAAUAAUUAAGUCA
This is an RNA transcript of Coffea arabica (coffee), 3612 nucleotides long. It is a transcript of the gene named probable polyribonucleotide nucleotidyltransferase 1, chloroplastic, with no coding region annotated. The record is from RefSeq and is a predicted model, not a curated record. NCBI's taxonomy places the organism in Eukaryota, Viridiplantae, Streptophyta, Magnoliopsida, Gentianales, Rubiaceae.